RNAcentral lists this ribosomal RNA (253 nucleotides) under uncultured bacterium. RNAcentral describes it as "partial 16S ribosomal RNA". It matches the Rfam family "Bacterial small subunit ribosomal RNA", at positions 524 to 776 of the family's 1533-position model. The record is from RNAcentral.
UACGGAGGGUGCAUGCGUUAAUCGGAAUUACUGGGCGUAAAGCGCACGCAGGCGGUCUGUCAAGUCGGAUGUGAAAUCCCCGGGCUCAACCUGGGAACUGCAUCUGAUACUGGCAAGCUUGAGUCUCGUAGAGGGGGGUAGAAUUCCAGGUGUAGCGGUGAAAUGCGUAGAGAUCUGGAGGAAUACCGGUGGCGAAGGCGGCUUUCUGGACAGAUACUGACGCUGAGGUGCGAAAGCGUGGGGAGCAAACAGG